ACAAGGUUAGCGGCGGACGGGUGAGUAACACGUGGGUAACCUGCCUGUAAGACUGGGAUAACAUUCAGAAACGGAUGCUAAUACCGGAUACGCGGUUUGGUCGCAUGACCGAACCGGGAAAGAUGGAGCAAUCUAUCACUUACAGAUGGACCCGCGGCGCAUUAGCUAGUUGGUGAGGUAACGGCUCACCAAGGCGACGAUGCGUAGCCGACCUGAGAGGGUGAUCGGCCACACUGGGACUGAGACACGGCCCAGACUCCUACGGGAGGCAGCAGUAGGGAAUCUUCCGCAAUGGACGAAAGUCUGACGGAGCAACGCCGCGUGAGUGAUGAAGGUUUUCGGAUCGUAAAGCUCUGUUGCCAGGGAAGAAUGCUUGGGAGAGUAACUGCUCCCAAGGUGACGGUACCUGAGAAGAAAGCCCCGGC
This 425-nucleotide ribosomal RNA is filed under the name Paenibacillaceae bacterium CL2.9. RNAcentral's name for it is "bacterial SSU rRNA". It matches the Rfam family "Bacterial small subunit ribosomal RNA", at positions 86 to 497 of the family's 1533-position model. The record is from RNAcentral. Lineage: Bacteria; Bacillati; Bacillota; Bacilli; Caryophanales; Paenibacillaceae.